Long non-coding RNA from Zonotrichia leucophrys gambelii, 1227 nucleotides. RefSeq lists it as uncharacterized. Lineage: Eukaryota; Metazoa; Chordata; Aves; Passeriformes; Passerellidae. The transcript has 4 exons. The record is from RefSeq and is a predicted model, not a curated record.
CUUGUGCCUGUUUUCUGUUUUGGCUUAACUGCAGAGAGUCCAAAGUAUGAGGAAUAUGCAGUGCAUUUCUUCUUGGGUGAAAUUAAAACCACCACCAACAAAAUCAUGUGUCAGUUAUCACAAUGGAUAAUCAUGAUGGGGGCUACAGAUGGUGAUUAUGACUAUAUCAAGCUUAAAGCAGAAAUGCUUUUCUGUGGAUGCCCAGCACCUCCAGUCUUUGUAUUCUCAUUACAGGUAAAGGAAUGAAGUUUAAAGAAUAUAGGAAAGAGACUUAAUUGAUGUGCUAUAUGGGCUUGUAUAUAAUUGUUGAUAACUCCAGGAGCUGCUGUUACACAGAACUGCCUGAGCAAUCAUUGUGACACACUCUGUAUUCGAUGUAGCUGCAGCACAGAACUCCAGUGAGCAGGGUGCGAGAUCAGGCAGUUCCUGCAGUAAAAUAUAUGUACUGUGAUAGAUGCAGGUCUGGGAACUGCAUGGGUGAGCCCAUGGCUGAUAAACCUGGGCAGAAUGGAGGCUCUAAAGAACAAAUGGGUUUGUCUGCCCAUCUGUGCUCCCAGAGAAAAGCAAUUUUGAGGAACAGUACAUUGCAUGAGCACUGAGGUGGGGAACUGUCUUUAUGGAGCUGUUCUGGAGCUGGACAAAUGCACAGCCCCAUGAGCCACAAGGGUUUCCUCUGGUGUGCACUUCUGAGGGGAUUUGAUUUCAAGGGCAAAACCGCCAUGCAGGAGCCAGAGUUUGACAUUCAAAUACUUGGAAAGAAUAUGUACUUUGGUGGAGUGGGGAUACUUAAAAUACAACUUCCCCUUGUCCGCACCAAAUGUAGCAUCUGAUAUGUGGGAACAUGGUGAGAUAAUUGAUUAGAUAACAAGGCUAAAUCCUGGUGGUCAAAAUAACUAAACUUCAUGGAAUUUAAAUAAAUAGCUACUUGUUCAACUAGUAAAACCAUAAUGAUCAACUUUUUUUAAUAUCUAAGAGGCAGAAAUAUAUCUUUCUUGGCUAUUCAUUGCUAUAAGUUCUUCCACCAUUUUCAAUGUUAGAAGUAUCAUUUGGCCCAUUUUUGUUUCUGAAUAUUUUGUUUUUAGAAUAAGCAGAUAAUAUCAUGAUUUUUUUUUACCUUCUCACUCUUUAGUAUCCUAUACACAAGGAAUUGUACUAUAAAAGACGUAUGGCUGGCAUAGUCCCAUUGAGAACAUGAAGAUCUGAAUAAAUCCUGAUGUUGAAAUUUCA